Molecule: small RNA, 63 nt
Filed under: Xanthomonas euroxanthea
Lineage: Bacteria; Pseudomonadati; Pseudomonadota; Gammaproteobacteria; Lysobacterales; Lysobacteraceae
Also listed under: 1 other name
Description: sRNA sX9
Rfam family: Xanthomonas sRNA sX9
Source: RNAcentral
AUCACGUCGGUUCCUCCGCGCCAUCCGCACCCAUCUGACAACGGCUCGCUAUGUUCAUCAGCC